Molecule: long non-coding RNA, 354 nt
Organism: Vespula pensylvanica (western yellowjacket)
Lineage: Eukaryota; Metazoa; Arthropoda; Insecta; Hymenoptera; Vespidae
Exons: 2
Source: RefSeq, a predicted model, not a curated record
CACGUACCUACCUACAUAUUUGAUUUUUUCCCUUCCUUUUCUUCCUUUCCUUUUUUCCUCCUUUCUUCUUCUUCUUUUUUCUUUUUUCGUUUUUCUCUUCCGUUUCUUUUUCAUUUUCUUAUUCGACUGGUACGACUACACGCAUCGAUCACCAUCAUUGUAUACCUACGAGAGAGAGAGGAUACGUUACCUCCUCCGACGGUCGUCGUCGUUAUCGUCGUCGUCGUCGCCGUCGUCGUCCUCCUCCUCGUCGUAGUAGUUCUUACACCGUAAUUGUGAUAAACGUCGAAGAAAGAAGAAAUCCUUGUUAAAGAGAAGAAAACAGGAUAACUUGGUGAAAUUAGGAAUACAGGG